UACGGGGGGGGCAAGCGUUGUUCGGAAUUACUGGGCGUAAAGGGCGCGUAGGCGGCUCUGUUAGUCAGGCGUGAAAGUCCUGGGCUCAACUUCGGAACUGCCUCUGAUACAGCACGUCUUGAGUCCGGAAGAGGUGGGUGGAAUUCCUAGUGUAGAGGUGAAAUUCGUAGAUAUUAGGAAGAACACCGGUGGCGAAGGCGGCCCACUGGUCCGGUACUGACGCUGAGGUGCGAAAGCGUGGGGAGCAAACAGG
RNAcentral lists this ribosomal RNA (253 nucleotides) under uncultured bacterium. RNAcentral's name for it is "partial 16S ribosomal RNA". It matches the Rfam family "Bacterial small subunit ribosomal RNA", at positions 524 to 776 of the family's 1533-position model. The record is from RNAcentral.